AUUGAACGCUGGCGGCAGGCCUAACAUAUGCAAGUCGAGCGAGCGGCUGACGGGUUAGUAAUGUAUGGGGUCUGCCCGAUAGAGGGGGAUAACUACUGGAAACGGUAGCUAAUACCGCAUACUAUCGAAUAACCCAUAUGGGAUUAGCUAGUAGGUGAGGUAAUGGAUCAACUAGGCGACGAUCCCUCUCUGGUCUGAGAGGAUGAUCAGCCAAACUGUGACGUAGACACGGCCCAGACUCCUACGGAGUCAGCAGUGGGAAAUAUUGCACAAUGGGCGCAAGCCUGAUGCAGCCAUGCCGGGUGUAUGAAGAAGGCCCUAGGGUUGUAAAGUACUUUCAGUCGGGAGGCGUUACCGACAGAAGAAGCACCGGCUAACUCCGUGCCAGGAGCCGCGGUAAUAC
RNAcentral lists this ribosomal RNA (403 nucleotides) under uncultured bacterium. RNAcentral describes it as "partial 16S ribosomal RNA". It matches the Rfam family "Bacterial small subunit ribosomal RNA", at positions 30 to 526 of the family's 1533-position model. The record is from RNAcentral.